CCUACGGGGGCAGCAGUAGGGAAUUUUGCGCAAUGGGCGAAAGCCUGACGCAGCAACGCCGCGUGAUCGAGACGCCCUUCGGGGUGUAAAGAUCUGUCAGCGGGGACGAAACUUGACGGUACCCACAGAGGAAGCACCGGCUAACUCCGUGCCAGCAGCCGCGGUAAUACGGAGGGUGCAAGCGUUGUCCGGAAUCAUUGGGUGUAAAGAGUUCGUAGGCGGCACGUAAAGUCUGGUGUUAAAGGCAGGGGCUCACCUUCUGUACGGCACUGGAUACUUGCGGGCUAGAGUGCGGUAGAGGUAGAGGGAAUUCCUGGUGUAGCGGUGAAAUGCUUAGAUAUCAGGAGGAACAUCGGUGGCGAAGGCGCUUUACGGGGCAGUAAUUGACGCUGAGGAACGAAAGCCAGGGGAGCAAAUGGGAUUAGAUACCCUAGUAGUC
This 439-nucleotide ribosomal RNA is filed under the name uncultured bacterium. RNAcentral's name for it is "partial 16S ribosomal RNA". It matches the Rfam family "Bacterial small subunit ribosomal RNA", at positions 338 to 795 of the family's 1533-position model. The record is from RNAcentral.